GCCGCUAUAGCUCAGUGGUAGAGCACUGGUCUCGUAAACCAGGGGUUGUGAGUUCAAGCCUCACUGGCGGCA
RNAcentral lists this transfer RNA (72 nucleotides) under Rhipicephalus microplus (southern cattle tick). Its description in RNAcentral is "tRNA-Thr". It matches the Rfam family "tRNA". From Rfam's summary of the family: Transfer RNA (tRNA) molecules are approximately 80 nucleotides in length. Lineage: Eukaryota; Metazoa; Arthropoda; Arachnida; Ixodida; Ixodidae. The record is from Rfam by way of RNAcentral.